GAAUCCUCCGGAAAGGCCGAUUGCCCAGAAGGUUAUAAGACAGAAGCUGAGGGAAAGGACGAUUAAUGCUGGGAUUGAGAUGAAAGAGCGAGCGAGAACGUAUGAAGAACGUCGAUAAGCAUCGUAAGCAGUUUCCCUCACGAAAAUAAAUCUUUCUUUGAUGAACUCUAUGGUUUCCGUUGUGCAGGUGAAGAAACCGGUGCUUAUGGAAAUUGCUAAGCAUCCUAAUCUACCUUGGGCUCCUCUUGGGGGAAUCAUCAACCUGCCAAAACAUGGUGCCUAGUACAAGUCUGGUGAUGAUUAUCAUCGCUAACCGGAGUUUAUUACUAGCCUUUUGAGGGAGGGUGAAUCU
RNAcentral lists this long non-coding RNA (352 nucleotides) under Gossypium barbadense (sea-island cotton). Its description in RNAcentral is "long non-coding RNA (GBAR_LNC019477)". Lineage: Eukaryota; Viridiplantae; Streptophyta; Magnoliopsida; Malvales; Malvaceae. The record is from RNAcentral.